RNAcentral lists this transfer RNA (65 nucleotides) under Marmota monax (woodchuck). Its description in RNAcentral is "tRNA.Thr". The record is from RNAcentral. Lineage: Eukaryota; Metazoa; Chordata; Mammalia; Rodentia; Sciuridae.
GGUUAUGGCUCAGUGUUAGAGCACUUGCCUAGUAUGUGAGACCCUGGGUUCGAUCCUCAGCACCA